This is a long non-coding RNA of Pantherophis guttatus, 1113 nucleotides long. RefSeq lists it as uncharacterized. The record is from RefSeq and is a predicted model, not a curated record. NCBI's taxonomy places the organism in Eukaryota, Metazoa, Chordata, Lepidosauria, Squamata, Colubridae.
CACCCAGCUCGGGGCGGAGUCCGGAUCCUAGAAGUCUGGCGGGAGGAGCGGCGGGGAGGUGGGGGUCCUUUGGGGACCCGCCGGCGGGCGGGCACAACAAAGAAGCGGGUGAGGUGGAUUCUCAGAAAGCCGGGGGCGUUCCGAGACGGCAGCCAAUAAGGGCGUGCGUGGGGCAAGCUGGGCAACCUAUACAGUAUUCCUCGGAGUUUGUGGCUGGGGCUGCCGCCUCUUGCGACCCAGCUUAAGUUUAUUUAGUGGUACCUUUUGUCUCCUCCCCGGGGUCCUGCUUCCUAACGUGAAGGGCUUCUACUGUUAAUGCGCAUUGUGACGAUUCUUGCGACGUAAGCGGUGGAAUAGAAAGGGUGCAGGGGAAGGACUGGGGUGUUCGCCUUCUUUUAUGCUGCUCGCAUUGAAUGAAAUGGGGCAUAUUCUCCCCAAUCCUUGCAAGAGAAAUGCUUGUCAGAGAUGAUGUAUUUAGAACAAAAAUCUUCUACUUGGAUGAUCCAGAAGCUAGAAUCUCUCUUGAUGGUUUCCCCCACUUACCCUUCCUCAGGGGAUUGUUCCUACGCAAUCAGAGGAGGUGAAAUGGAGAUCUAUAAUUUCCAUGUAAGCCUAAUCUUUUUUUUCCUAGAAAAGACUGAAAUCCAGGGGGAUCUAGCUUUUAUUUUAUUUCUUGAAGAUUAUAUAUGGCUGAAAGAAUAACAUGGCAUAGUUCUUUAUGACUGAAUUCACUUAGUAAGUUUUUGAGCAAUUCCAUAGUUAGGUAGAAUUAAACUAGUUAUACAGUAAGUGAGUAGCACUGAACUGCAGAAAAUGUUCAUGAAGUUUUGUAAAGUAUUUUUUGAAACUCCACUGAUUUAAAAGUAAUUAUUCAGCCUUUAGCCAUUUUUCUUUAUAGUUGGGCCUUAAUAAAAUUGGAAGAUUGGAACUACCAUCUUAAAGCAGUGAUAGACAAUCCACAGACCACACAUGGGCCACUAAUUCCAUGUUUGCAUCUUUAACCUGCUAUCAAAAAUACAUUGUUGGCAUUCAGGAUCCUGCUGGAGGUAUUCCAAUGUUGGUUCCACAAUAAAGACUCCUUAUAGACAAUAAAUAUAUUUAUGGCUUCCAAUA